UACGGAGGGCGCAAGCGUUGUUCGGAAUCAUUGGGCGUAAAGCGCGUGUAGGCGGCUUGGCAAGUCGGGUGUGAAAGCCCUGGGCUCAACCCCGGAACUGCAUUCGAAACUGCCUAGCUAGAGUCCCGGAGAGGAAGGCAGAAUUCCCGGUGUAGAGGUGAAAUUCGUAGAUAUCGGGAGGAAUACCAGUGGCGAAGGCGGCCUUUUGGACGGCGACUGACGCUGAGACGCGAAAGCGUGGGGAGCAAACAGG
RNAcentral lists this unclassified non-coding RNA (253 nucleotides) under uncultured delta proteobacterium. RNAcentral's name for it is "contains 16S-23S intergenic spacer region". It matches the Rfam family "Bacterial small subunit ribosomal RNA", at positions 524 to 776 of the family's 1533-position model. Lineage: Bacteria; Deltaproteobacteria. The record is from RNAcentral.